AGAAUUAACGCUGGCGGCGUGCCUCAGACAUGCAAGUCGAACGAUUAAACUUUCCUUCGGGAAAGAUAUAAAGUGGCGCACGGGUGAGUAACACGUAAGUAAUCUACCUUCGAGUGGGGAAUAACAUCGGGAAACCGAUGCUAAUACCGCAUAAUGCAGCGGCAUCGCAAGAUGACAGUUGUUAAAGGAGCAAUCCGCUUGAAGAGGAGCUUGCGGCAGAUUAGCUAGUUGGUAGGGUAAUGGCCUACCAAGGCGACGAUCGAUAGCCGGCCUGAGAGGGUGAUCGGCCACACUGGAACUGAGACACGGUCCAGACUCCUACGGAGGCAGCAGUGGGGAAUUUGCGCAAUGGCUAACGCCUGACGCAGCAACGCCGCGUGGAGGAUGAAGGUCUUGGAUUG
This 401-nucleotide ribosomal RNA is filed under the name uncultured soil bacterium. Its description in RNAcentral is "bacterial SSU rRNA". It matches the Rfam family "Bacterial small subunit ribosomal RNA", at positions 26 to 425 of the family's 1533-position model. The record is from RNAcentral.